Non-coding RNA from Camellia sinensis, 670 nucleotides. The record is from RefSeq and is a predicted model, not a curated record. Lineage: Eukaryota; Viridiplantae; Streptophyta; Magnoliopsida; Ericales; Theaceae.
AUCUUUUGUUAUUGUGGUUUAUAGCAUCUUUUGCAGUUGGUUGUGGUUAUAAAAAAUUGUUUAUAUGAGCAGAAUUUUUUUGCGCAGAAUUAUACGAGCAGAAUUUUUUUGAUCUGUUAUUGUGUGCUCUCAUCUUUUGUUAUUGUGGUUUACAGCAUUUUUUGCAGUUGUUUGUGGUUAUAAGAAUUGUUUAUAUGAGCAGAAUUUUUUUGUGCAGAGUUAUAUGAGCAGAAUUUUUUUGAUGAUCUGUUAUUGUGUGCUCUCAUCUUUUGUUAUUGUGGUUUACAGCAUCUUUUGCAGCUGGAUUCCCAACUUUUGUGUUUGUGUGCUCUCAUCCAAUACUUCUCUCUAUUUCUCUGUUUGUGUGCUUUCAUCCAACCACAUCAUCGCUGUACUGCUGUUCAAUCAACAGGACCACCAGCUGUUGUUCUCAGGGAAGAGGUCGCAGUCCACCUGAUGAAUUUAGAUUAAGUUUUGGAACUAAAAUUUGGCAAUAUUAUAUGUUAUGUUAUGUGAUGUUGUGUGUGUGUGUGUGUGUCUUUGCCCAGGAAUCUGUUAUGUUAUGUGAUGUUGUGUGUGAGCGUGUGUCUUUGACAGUAUGUGAUGAUUUCGAUGGCUUCUAUUGGGAAUCAAUAUAUAUAUAUAUAUUUUAAAUCUAAAUUUUGUUUUC